GAGGGCAUAGCUCAAGUGGUAGAGCACAUGUUUAGCAUGCACAAGGUCCUGGGUUCAAUCCUCAGUAGCUUCU
RNAcentral lists this transfer RNA (73 nucleotides) under Camelus bactrianus (Bactrian camel). It matches the Rfam family "tRNA". Rfam says of the family: Transfer RNA (tRNA) molecules are approximately 80 nucleotides in length. Their secondary structure includes four short double-helical elements and three loops (D, anti-codon, and T loops). Further hydrogen bonds mediate the characteristic L-shaped molecular structure. tRNAs have two regions of fundamental functional importance: the anti-codon, which is responsible for specific mRNA codon recognition, and the 3' end, to which the tRNAs corresponding amino acid is attached (by aminoacyl-tRNA synthetases). tRNAs cope with the degeneracy of the genetic code in two manners: having more than one tRNA (with a specific anti-codon) for a particular amino acid; and 'wobble' base-pairing, i.e. permitting non-standard base-pairing at the 3rd anti-codon position. RNAcentral also lists the same sequence under 1 other name. Lineage: Eukaryota; Metazoa; Chordata; Mammalia; Artiodactyla; Camelidae. The record is from Rfam by way of RNAcentral.